Molecule: long non-coding RNA, 471 nt
Organism: Hippocampus zosterae (dwarf seahorse)
Lineage: Eukaryota; Metazoa; Chordata; Actinopteri; Syngnathiformes; Syngnathidae
Exons: 3
Source: RefSeq, a predicted model, not a curated record
AUCGAGGAGCUGUGUCACCGAUAAUGCGCUGUUGUCACAGUCUUUUUUUUUGGCUCCUAUCCCACCGCGUCAGACUGGCCGGCUUUAUAAUCCUCAGGGUGAACAAAAAAUGGAUUUGGUCGGCGUAAACAACACUUGAGGCUGCCGGAAUGUUUCCUGGCACGGCUCUCCUCCCCGCCUCCGCUGCGUCUCCAGAGGCUCUGGACAACAGACGGGUCACAGCGAAGCCACAUUUCAAAUCCGGUGUGCAGAUGGACACCAGUGGCGGUGAUGCUAAAUCCUGCGCCACUUGGCAACACGGCGGCAGUAAGGUUUGUCGACCUGCCUGAUCCCACAGGAGACCCGAUGCGUGCUUUGGCAUGAUUGCAACAAAAGAUAAUGUACCCAUCUUUGUGCAUCACAAUGUAAAUACAGUAAUAGACAUGAAUUCAUUAAUUGAAUACCUCAUUUGACAAUAAGGCUUAUCCGAUC